GGCGGCAGGCCUAACACAUGCAAGUCGAACGAACUCUUCGGAGUUAGUGGCGGACGGGUGAGUAACACGUGGGAACGUGCCUUUAGGUUCGGAAUAACUCAGGGAAACUUGUGCUAAUACCGAAUGUGCCCUUCGGGGGAAAGAUUUAUCGCCUUUAGAGCGGCCCGCGUCUGAUUAGCUAGUUGGUGAGGUAAAGGCUCACCAAGGCGACGAUCAGUAGCUGGUCUGAGAGGAUGAUCAGCCACAUUGGGACUGAGACACGGCCCAAACUCCUACGGGAGGCAGCAGUGGGGAAUCUUGCGCAAUGGGCGAAAGCCUGACGCAGCCAUGCCGCGUGAAUGAUGAAGGUCUUAGGAUUGUAAAAUUCUUUCACCGGGGACGAUAAUGACGGUACCCGGAGAAGAAGCCCCGGCUAACUUCGUGCCAGCAGCCGCGGUAAUACGAAGGGGGCUAGCGUUGCUCGGAAUUACUGGGCGUAAAGGGAGCGUAGGCGGACAUUUAAGUCAGGGGUGAAAUCCCGGGGCUCAACCUCGGAAUUGCCUUUGAUACUGGGUGUCUUGAGUAUGAGAGAGGUGUGUGGAACUCCGAGUGUAGAGGUGAAAUUCGUAGAUAUUCGGAAGAACACCAGUGGCGAAGGCGACACACUGGCUCAUUACUGACGCUGAGGCUCGAAAGCGUGGGGAGCAAACAGGAUUAGAUACCCUGGUAGUCCACGCCGUAAACGAUGAUUGCUAGUUGUCGGGAUGCAU
RNAcentral lists this ribosomal RNA (749 nucleotides) under Caulobacteraceae bacterium. RNAcentral's name for it is "bacterial SSU rRNA". It matches the Rfam family "Bacterial small subunit ribosomal RNA", at positions 38 to 833 of the family's 1533-position model. Lineage: Bacteria; Pseudomonadati; Pseudomonadota; Alphaproteobacteria; Caulobacterales; Caulobacteraceae. The record is from RNAcentral.